RNAcentral lists this long non-coding RNA (372 nucleotides) under Durio zibethinus. Its description in RNAcentral is "long non-coding RNA (DZIB_LNC001674)". The record is from RNAcentral. Lineage: Eukaryota; Viridiplantae; Streptophyta; Magnoliopsida; Malvales; Malvaceae.
UCAUAAUUAAGGUGAAGACUCUUCUAACAUCUAGAUUUCAAUCCACAGGCAUGGAUUGAAACUAUUGGAAGGGUUAAAGUUACGUGCACUCUUGUAUAUGGCUUUGGUUCUAUGGAUAGAUCUGAUUACCUAUUUUACUCAAGUUAAUCCACUAUUGCAGCAACAACAUCUUACUCUAUUUGUGGUCCAUCAUUAGUGCCUUCUCAACCUCAGAUACAAGAAUAGAUUGAUGAGUUGAGGACUCAACUUAGGUCUUUCAUGGAUUAAAUGAUGCAAUUGAUGGGGUCUAGAAAAUUUUUGCCAACAUGAUAUUCUAGACCUAACGAUAGCAACACCAAUUCUGGAAUAGGAGAUGCAGCAACACAAUGAGCU